Molecule: long non-coding RNA, 411 nt
Filed under: Junco hyemalis (dark-eyed junco)
Lineage: Eukaryota; Metazoa; Chordata; Aves; Passeriformes; Passerellidae
Description: lncRNA (ENSJHYG00000007673.1)
Source: RNAcentral
AGAUGAUAACUCCUUCCUGCAACCAAACCAUCCAUCUCUGCUAGGUGGGAGGACAGCCUGGACACACAGUGCUCGGACAGACUCCUACAUACACCCACAAGCAGGUUCCUUUAUUUGGAGCUGAAUUCCACUCCCAGUUUACCAGAGGUCAUCUCUUGCCUAAGAAGAGCUGAAUGGCACAUCUCUGCAGAACCCAGGUCAUGGAAGACCUACUGCCAGGAGAUUAACCAUCAGUUUAGUGCAAGCUUGUCUGUGGGGGUAGGCAGCAGCUGGUAACGACUCUUCCUCACGAAAACUGCUGAAAAUUUGGGGGCUUUCUAGCAUUACUGUUUCAAGGAAAAACAGCAAUGUUCAAAGAAAAGAUGUAUUUUUGGGAAGAUUUUAUUUAAAUAAAGUUCCAGUUUAUCUUCA